Molecule: ribosomal RNA, 253 nt
Filed under: uncultured bacterium
Lineage: Bacteria
Description: partial 16S ribosomal RNA
Rfam family: Bacterial small subunit ribosomal RNA
Source: RNAcentral
UACGUAGGGUGCGAGCGUUGUCCGGAAUUAUUGGGCGUAAAGAGCUUGUAGGCGGUCUGUCGCGUCUGCUGUGAAAAUCCGGGGCUCAACCCCGGACUUGCAGUGGGUACGGGCAGACUAGAGUGUGGUAGGGGAGACUGGAAUUCCUGGUGUAGCGGUGAAAUGCGUAGAUAUUGGGAAGAACACCUGAGGCGAAGGCGGGAUGCUGGGCCGACACUGACGCUGAGGCGCGAAAGCCAGGGGAGCAAACGGG